UUAAAUCACUUGUUCUUCAGUUUUUCUUGACCCUCUUGCUUCCUCCUCCGCUGUCCAUUAUAUCUAACGAGUCUGACUUAUUCGUCUGAGUUAAGCAGGACGAAUCCGACUCACUAAUGUACAGAAGGAGAGCUACACUGCUCACAAUCAACUCCUUCACAGCUUUUUCCAAGGUACGUAGACCAUGCAAUUCUUUGUAUUCAAUCGAAUGGAUUAGUUUCGUGAGAAACCACAGCACUGCCGCUGAAAGAUCAGGUUUUCAAAACCCAAAUGGGUUAAAUGGAGAAGACAGUAUUGGCUACGAACAAAACCCUAAUGGGUUUUAUAGUGGAAACCAAAACCAUGUUGGGUUUCAGCAUAAAACUGAUGGGUAUGGUCAAGAAUGGAGGUAUAGGGGGAAUACAGGAGAGUUUGAGAAAAACCCAGAUGGGUUUUAUAAGGGAAACACAGUAGGUGUUCUGCAAAACCCUAGAGUUGAGUUUCGGCACAUACCAGUUGGUAUUUCUAGAGGAAGCAACAGUAGUGAAUAUCAGGGGAACCCAUUUGACAAUAACCCAGAUGGGUUUUAUAGGGAAAAUGCGGCAAGACUUCGGCAAAACUGUAGAGUUGAUUUUCAGCAUAAACCAAUUGGUCAAAAUGGGAACUUUGCAAGUGGUGAUUACAGAGAAAGCAACGGAAGAGAAUAUCUAGGGAACCCGAUUGCGCAAAAUAGGAGUAAUUUUACUGGGUCAAGUGGAGAAAUGCAGCAGAAUCCAAUGGGGAAACAUGGGUUUAGAGAAGGACAAUCGGUAGUCGAGCAGAACCGAAAUGGAUUUUCUGAACAGCGUGCAUCGGGGUUUUCGGGUGGUGUUAAUGGAAAUUAUGGCGGGAGUGAUGGAGAAUUUAAGCAAGGUGCAAGUGAUCAUUAUCCGAAUAACUAUUCCACGGGAAACACUGGAAUGACUCCACAGAGCCCUGAUAUUUAUUACUCAGGAAACUCAGUUGUGUCUCAGCAUCAUCAAGGGAACUAUUAUGGGAGCAAUGAUCAAAUGAAUCCGCGAACUCCAAUUGUAAAUGGUCGUUACUCCGUAAACACUAGAUUGACAAAUCAAAACUCGAAUGACUUUUAUAGGGGAAAUGGGGAAAUGGCCGAACAAAACCCUAGUAACUUUCGUCCAGGAAGCACCAGUUCAUAUCAACAUGGCAUGGGUACCCAUUAUGAGGGCAGCGGUACAAUGUACCAGCAAAGCAGUGGUGUGUACCGUGGAGACAGUGCUGAAACUCCAAAUGGGCAUGUGAUGCAAAAUGUUGGAGAAAGUUGGCAGAACCUGAGUGGAAGUUACAAUACUAACACUCAAAAUUACGGACAGAAAUCAUUUGAGACGCAACAUGGAAUGAUGGAUUCUCAAGUAUCAGGUAAUUCUGAAGCUCAAGGAGAAUCAGUUGAAGGUGUGGAAAGAAGCCAACACAAUGGUACGAUAGAGGAGUUGGAUGGUUUUUGCAAGGAGGGAAAAUUGAAGGAAGUUGUCGAAGUGUUGGGACUAUUAGAGAGGCAGCAUAUCAGGGUUGAUUUGCCCCGUUACCUGAUGUUGAUGAAGGCAUGCAGGGAUAGUAAAGCUCUGAAAGAAGCAAAAUACAUUCACAAUCACCUAAUGAAAUCAGUUUCCAUUCUGGAAGUCAGCACUUAUAACAAGAUUUUAGAGAUGUAUGGACAAUGUGGUUCCAUGGAGGAUGCAUAUAUGGUGUUCAAUAAAAUGCCGCAGCGAAAUCUGACUUCUUGGGACACUAUGAUAAUUUGGCUUGCCAAGAAUGGUCAUGGAGAGGAGGCGAUUGAUUUGUUCGCUCAAUUCAAGAAAUCAGGACUGAAACCUGAUGGGCCCAUGUUCUUUGGAGUCUUCUCUGCUUGCACCGUAUUGGGGGACAUCGUUGAAGGAAUGUUGCACUUUGAAUCAAUGAGCAAGGAUUAUGGAAUUUCCCCAUCCAUGGUGCAUUAUGUUAGUGUAGUGGACAUGUUAGGAAGUGUAGGGUAUUUGGAUGAAGCAUUAGAGUUUAUUGAAAAAAUGCCAGUGGAACCAAAUGUAGUAGUUUGGGAGACGUUGAUGAAUGCAAGUAGAGUUCAUGGCCACACGGAGCUUGGGGAUCGUUGUGCUGAGCUGGUGGAGCUCGUGGACCCUACUCGCUUGGAUGAGAAAUCAAAAGCAGGUCUCAUACCAGUGAAAGCGUCAGACAUAGCAAAAGACAAGGAGAAGAAGAAAUUGGAGGCUGGCAAUCUUCUAGCAGCCAGGAGUAGGGUCCACGAAUACAGGGCAGGGGAUAAAUCUCAUCCAGAGGCGGAUAAGAUCUAUGCGCAGCUUAGGGGUAUGAAGGAACAGAUGAAAGAAGCUGGUUAUGUGCCGGAGACUAGAUUUGUGCUCCAUGACAUAGACCAAGAAUCGAAGGAGGAAGCUCUUCUUGCUCAUAGCGAGAGGCUUGCUGUUGCUUUUGGUCUCAUGAGUAGCCCGGCUCGUGCACAAAUGCGCAUAAUCAAGAACCUUCGUGUUUGUGGUGACUGCCAUAGUGCGUUGAAGAUCAUCUCGAAACUGGUUGGACGGGAACUUGUCAUACGAGAUGCUAAGAGGUUUCACCAUUUCAAAGAUGGUUUGUGUUCUUGCCGUGAUUACUGGUGAAGAAAUCGUAUCUGAGGUACUGUUUAUCCAAUUCUCCUAGCAGUCUUUUCGUGAAAGUGCCAAUGAAUGCGGUAUCUAUUUAUGAUAGGGGUAUGCAUUUUUUUCUGCGGACCUUGAGUGUGCUAAGAAAAGAUGCAAUGGAUGUAGAUCUCACUAACAGAAUAACUGCAAGCCUGCCUCGCAUGGAAACAGAUCAAGCGAGACAAAUGCUGUGCAAUACAUGAAGCAUUUUGGAAGCAGCUGGAUUUUUUCCAUGAGGAUAGAAAUACAAUAGUCUUUGACUCUUUUCUCGGUGCUCUGCGUGUGCAUUAUUUGUAAGGUGGAUGGUGCUUGGAUACCAAUACCAUGCACAGAGCUUGAGUUGAACGUAUGCGAUUCAUAUUUAAAGUUCAUAGCACUAUAGUUUUAGUUUGACACAAUGUUGUUGAUGAGAUGUAUUAAGAUUCCUAAUUUAUGAUCAUAUGGAAGCUUCUUAGUUCCUAUAUUUUGC
Rhododendron vialii is the source of this 3135-nucleotide RNA transcript. It is a transcript of the gene named pentatricopeptide repeat-containing protein At4g32450, mitochondrial, with no coding region annotated. The transcript has 2 exons. The record is from RefSeq and is a predicted model, not a curated record. NCBI's taxonomy places the organism in Eukaryota, Viridiplantae, Streptophyta, Magnoliopsida, Ericales, Ericaceae.